RNAcentral lists this ribosomal RNA (381 nucleotides) under Salmonella enterica subsp. enterica serovar Anatum. Its description in RNAcentral is "partial 23S ribosomal RNA". It matches the Rfam family "Bacterial large subunit ribosomal RNA", at positions 1300 to 1681 of the family's 2925-position model. Lineage: Bacteria; Pseudomonadati; Pseudomonadota; Gammaproteobacteria; Enterobacterales; Enterobacteriaceae. The record is from RNAcentral.
ACAUAAGUAACGAUAAAGCGGGUGAAAAGCCCGCUCGCCGGAAGACCAAGGGUUCCUGUCCAACGUUAAUCGGGGCAGGGUGAGUCGACCCCUAAGGCGAGGCCGAAAGGCGUAGUCGAUGGGAAACGGGUUAAUAUUCCCGUACUUGGUGUUACUGCGAAGGGGGGACGGAGAAGGCUAUGUUGGCCGGGCGACGGUUGUCCCGGUUUAAGCGUGUAGGUGUGUGUUCCAGGUAAAUCCGGUUCACUUUAACACUGAGGCGUGAUGACGAGGCACUACGGUGCUGAAGCAACAAAUGCCCUGCUUCCAGGAAAAGCCUCUAAGCAUCAGGUAACAUCAAAUCGUACCCCAAACCGACACAGGUGGUCAGGUAGAGAAUAC